CUGUAGAGCGCAAGCGCCCUGCGUGCCUGUUGCCGGCUUGGCGACCUUUCUGAGCCUGCGGCCUCACAGUUGUCGAGUGACUCAGGUGGCCUGUGAGACUGAGUUGCCGUGGUGACGGCCGUGCGUGGCCGCGCGUGACAGUUAGAUGAGAGCUUGCUGGAGGAGAUCGGCGAUGCUGAGCGCCGGAGUUUCCACGGAGUAAAGUACUUGGCUAGACACAUACUAGGUCCUCGGUAGGCAUCAGACUUGGAGCAGAGAGACCUUCCUGUCCAUCUUCUUCUCUUCCUCUGGCACUACCAACUUCAGCCUUCCUAAAGGAAGUUCAGGAUUGAGAAACCAGACCUGAGACUAAGGGAUCAACUUCCCAGCGGGACAUUUUUGAAGAAGAUUCAUUCUAGGGAACAACCAUAGAAAGACUAACAGGAAACAGUACCUGGGACUCUGGUACAUGAAAUUUGGGGAUGGGAGGAUCACUUACAGAGACAUUCAGGACAAGGAGUCAUACUGACAAAGAACAAUUUCAGGGAGAUCACUACCUAUAAAUGCAGUGCUUUCGAGGGACGCUUCAGUCUAUAGUCAGUUCUUGUUUGACAAUAGGGAGUUCCUACAGGAGAAAAAUAUCUCCCUACAUCUUGUACACAUGUAGGGAGACUGACACCAAAUUUCAACCUGGUUAUUCAGCAGGCUUCUGUGCAGCAAAGAAGCUGUGGCAAUGUAGUGAAUGGGGAAAGUCCUUCUGUGACCAUCCCACCUUCAUUGGGCAUCAGGGCAUUCACACUGGAGAAAAACUAUAUAUUUGUAAGGAAUAUGGAAAAGCCUUCAUCCAGAGCUCAUCUCUUACAAAGCAUCAAAGAUAUCAUGUAGGAGACAAACCCUUUAAAUGUAGUGAAUGUGACAAAGCUUUCAGCCAGAGCUCAUCAUUGACCACCAGAGAAUCCACAUAGGAAAAAAUCCCUAUCAAUGCAGUGAAUGUGGGAAGGCCUUCGACAAAAGCACACUCCUGAUUCGCCACACACGCUUCCACAGAGGGGAGAAGCCCUACAAGUGCAAUGAGUGUGGGAAGGCCCUCAGCCACAGCACAUACCUAACGCAGCAUCACAGGAUACACACUGGAAAGAGACUCUAUAAAUGCAGUGAAUGUGGGAAAGCCUUCACUGAUACCUUGUUCUUUUCUAGACACCUCUUUUUCUCACACUGGAGAGAAACCCUAUAGAUGUGAUGAAUGUGGAAAAGCCUUUAGUGGCCCCUCAGAGCUUAUUCAGCAUCAAAGAACAUGCACAGGGGAGAAGCCCUAUAAAUGCACAAAAUGUAGAAAAGCUUUUAGUUAGAAAUACAUGCCUUAUUGGACACCAGGGAAUUCACACUAGAGGGAAACCCCACAAAUGUAAAGAAUGUGAGAAAGCCUUCAGCUAGAGCUCACACCUUAUAAAAUAUCUAAGAGUGCACACUGGAGAGAAACUAUAAAUGCAAGGAAUGUAAAAAAGCCUUCACCCAGUGGGCAUCCCUAUGCAUCAUCAGAAAAUUCAUAACACAAAAAAGCCCUAUGAAUAUUAUAAUUCCUUUAUUGAAUCCUUGGCCUUUUUAAAGCACUAGAAUGUUAAUACUGGAGACAGAGUCUGUGAAUGAAUGGAGAUGCUCAGUGGGACCACUGGAUGUGAGGAUUACUUCAGAGUAACUUCUAACAUUCCUUCUCACCCUGAGAUGUCAUCGUAAGAAAUGUUGGGGUCCUCCUCUUUGCCUAGGAUUGUGUUGCAUGGCGUGUGGAUAGGACACUAUUGCAAAUCUCUCUCUCUCUCUCUCUCCCUGUAAGUUAGCAUGAAUUGAUGAGUAACACUUGUUGGGGUUUAAAUUCAAAUAUGGGCUUAAAUUUAAAUAUUGAGUUAAAAGUAUUAUUUGAAACUUUAAAUAAAAUACAGU
Molecule: long non-coding RNA, 1917 nt
Organism: Canis lupus familiaris (dog)
Lineage: Eukaryota; Metazoa; Chordata; Mammalia; Carnivora; Canidae
Exons: 3
Source: RefSeq, a predicted model, not a curated record